UACGUAGGGUGCGAGCGUUGUCCGGAAUUACUGGGCGUAAAGGGCGCGUAGGCGGCCCGCUAAGUCGAACGUGAAAUCCCCGAGCUCAACUCGGGAACUGCGUCCGAUACUGGUGGGCUUGAAUCCGGGAGAGGGAUGCGGAAUUCCAGGUGUAGCGGUGAAAUGCGUAGAUAUCUGGAGGAACACCGGUGGCGAAGGCGGGUCUCUGGGCAAUUCCUGACGCUGAGGCGCGAAAGCGUGGGGAGCAAACGGG
RNAcentral lists this ribosomal RNA (253 nucleotides) under uncultured bacterium. RNAcentral's name for it is "partial 16S ribosomal RNA". It matches the Rfam family "Bacterial small subunit ribosomal RNA", at positions 524 to 776 of the family's 1533-position model. The record is from RNAcentral.